UGGGGACCCGCCGAGAGUGGCUCCUUUGCCUCUGAUCUCAACGUCAGCCCCCACCCAGGCUCCCUAGCGCGUUCCUGGUCUGCCCCCUACGCUGGCCACCUCUGGUCCCACUCUGCCUCCUACACGGGAGCCCUGCUCUGGGCUGCGAUCUUGAGUCCUCAGAUGCCCCAACCCUCAUCCUUCAUGGCAGAUAGCUGGAGUUUCCAACUCUGUCCUGAGGACCCGAAGUGCGCUCCCUGGAUGAGUCUGGGCUGUGCCCCUGCGGAGCUUCAGUUUCUCCAGCUUGAAGCAGUGACUCUAAAGGUUUAUGAGCGCGAAUAAAGGGUCUCCACUCGUGACUGGAAUCCCCCAGAUGCCUUCUGAUGCUGUUAUGGAAUGAACUCCAAGAUCAAUACUGGAAGUACAUUUGCAGCCCUUCACAGACAUGCACACAUCGAGAAAGUUGGAGUCACCAGUGGACAGGUGGAAAUUUUCUCCAUCUAUAUCACAUGGCGGCUCCAUGGAGAAGAGAGGAGAAAGAGGAAGAGAAAGAGAGCAAUUUCUUGCUUGUCCCUGCUUAUAUUCUGAGUCUGCCUGCUAUGUCACUUCCUGCCUGGAUCACAAGACUUAUCUUUACUACAUUUCCCAGAAUCCUCCUUGACUCCUAGUCCCACCUAACUUGCUUCCUCAUUGACUCCUAGUCCCGCCUAACUUCAUUCCUCACUUUAUUCAACAACCAAUAAGAUAAAUAUACACAGAAGAACUUGCUGUAUCACACUCCCAAACUCAUCUAUGUCAACCCCACACCCCCCCAAACUUAUCUAUGUAACCCCACACCCCCAAACUCAGGGAACAUGGUGGGAAAGGAGGUAAAAAGACGAUGAGAUGGAGGGUGGGGAUGAGUGUUGUGAAAUGCUGCCUCUGGGCACAUGGCGGUGACUUUCGUGGACUUGCAGCAGCUGCAGGUACCUGCACAAGAUCAAGCUGGUCCGCAUUCCAUCAGGGAUGGGAGGGCUCUGCUCCUCUCUGGGGAGCUAUUUGCAGUUAAUGGCAGCUGGAGGAGCGGGGUUAUUUUUCUUCAGUGAUGUAGCUUAGCUAUUGGUUAAGCCGCUCAUGCUCCUGUGCAUGGUCCCACACCCACACGCAUGCAAGAAACACUAAUUAAACUCUGUGUCGUAAAAAGAGGUCACACGUGUAGGAGGGUGAUGACUUCUUGAAGGGACCCAGAGGGAGCUGGAGGGGGACUAAGAAAGGGUAAUGGAGG
RNAcentral lists this long non-coding RNA (1243 nucleotides) under Cricetulus griseus (Chinese hamster). RNAcentral's name for it is "lncRNA (ENSCGRG00015030264.1)". Lineage: Eukaryota; Metazoa; Chordata; Mammalia; Rodentia; Cricetidae. The record is from RNAcentral.